This 374-nucleotide ribosomal RNA is filed under the name uncultured bacterium. RNAcentral describes it as "bacterial SSU rRNA". It matches the Rfam family "Bacterial small subunit ribosomal RNA", at positions 29 to 413 of the family's 1533-position model. The record is from RNAcentral.
AUCAACGCUGGCGGCGUGCCUAAAACAUGCAAGUCGGACGGCCACCUUCGGGUGGCAGUGGCGGACGGCUGAGUAAGACGUGGGUGACCUGCCAUCUGGUGGGGGAUAACCCCUCGAAAGGGGGCGUAAGACCGCAUGAGGUCCUCGGAGCGUACCGGGGAGGAAAGACCGCAAGGCGCCAGGUGAGGGGCCCGCGGCCGAUUAGCUAGCUGGUGGGGUAAUGGCCUACCAGGGCAGUGANCGGUAGCUGGUCUGAGAGGAUGGCCAGCCAGACUGGGACUGAGAGACGGCCCAGACUCCUGCGGGAGGCAGCAGUUAGGAAUUUUGGGCAAUGGGCGCAAGCCUGACCCAGCAACGCCGCGUGGGCGACGAAG